Molecule: RNA transcript, 2829 nt
Organism: Nycticebus coucang (slow loris)
Lineage: Eukaryota; Metazoa; Chordata; Mammalia; Primates; Lorisidae
Gene: NCBP3
Gene name: nuclear cap binding subunit 3
Exons: 15
Source: RefSeq, a predicted model, not a curated record
CCCGCCGCAGCCGGCCCGGGUUCCUCCUGCCACCAGGGGGCGGGAACGCUAGCGCCUGCCUUCUAGCAGAGACAGGGACUCUCUAGGUAGCGGCGGCGGCUCCUCGGUGGCCAGUGGCGGAGGCGCUCUAGCCGGCGAGUGUGCGGGGCGGGCUCUCAGUGGUGCGGCCGGCAAGCAGCGAUGGCGGCCGUACGGGGCCUGCGGGUGUCGGUGAAGGCGGAGGCCCCGGCGGGCCCGGCCCUGGGGCUCCUGUCACCUGAGGCAGAGUCUGGUUCCGACCGUGGCGAACCGGAGCCUAUGGAGGUGGAGGAGGGCGAGCUGGAGAUCGUGCCGGUGCGGCGCUCGCUGAAGGAACUGAUCCCGGACACAAGCAGAAGAUAUGAAAACAAGGCUGGCAGCUUCAUCACUGGGAUUGAUGUCACCUCCAAAGAAGCAAUUGAAAAGAAAGAACAGCGAGCCAAGCGCUUCCAUUUUCGAUCAGAAGUAAAUCUUGCCCAGAGAAAUGUAGCCCUGGACCGAGACAUGAUGAAGAAAGCAAUCCCCAAAGUGAGACUGGAGACAAUCUACAUUUGCGGAGUAGAUGAGAUGAGUACACAGGAUAUCUUUUCCUAUUUUAAAGAAUAUCCUCCAGCUCACAUUGAAUGGUUGGAUGAUACCUCCUGUAAUGUGGUUUGGCUGGACGAAAUGACUGCUACCCGAGCCCUUAUCAAUAUGAGCUCUCUGCCUGCUCAGGAUAAGAUAAGAAGCAAGGAUGCCAGUGAGGACAAGUCAUCUGAGAAAAGUAAAAAGGACAAGCAGGAAGACAGUUCAGAUGAUGAUGAGGCUGAAGAAGGAGAAGUUGAAGAUGAGAACUCAAGUGAUGUAGAGUUGGACACGUUAUCUCAGGUAGAAGAGGAAUCUUUGUUAAGAAAUGAUCUUCGUCCAGCUAACAAACUUGCUAAAGGAAAUAGGUUAUUCAUGAGAUUUGCUACAAAAGAUGACAAAAAGGAACUUGGAGCAGCUAGAAGAAGUCAGUAUUAUAUGAAAUAUGGGAAUCCAAAUUAUGGAGGCAUGAAAGGAAUUCUUAGCAAUUCAUGGAAGCGAAGAUAUCAUUCCCGUCGAAUUCAGCGGGAUGUGAUCAAGAAGAGAGCCCUGAUUGGGGAUGAUGUUGGCUUGACGUCAUAUAAACACCGACAUUCCGGACUAGUGAAUGUUCCUGAAGAACCCAUUGAAGAGGAAGAAGAAGAAGAGGAGGAGGAGGAGGAAGACCAGGACAUGGAUGCAGAUGACAGAGUGGUGGUGGAGUACCAUGAGGAACUGCCAGCUCUCAAGCAGUCCCGGGAGCGAAGUGCAUCUCGGCGGUCCAGUACCAGCGGCUCAGACUCAGAUGAAAUGGACUAUGAUCUAGAACUGAAAAUGAUUUCCACUCCUUCACCAAAGAAAAGCAUGAAAAUGACUAUGUAUGCUGACGAAGUGGAAUCUCAGUUGAAAAGUAUUAGGAAUUCCAUGAGGGCAGAUAAUAUACCCUCAAGCAAUAUCAAAAACCGAAUUGGUAACAAAGUACCACCUGAGAAAUUUGCAGAUGUCCGACAUCUAUUAGAUGAAAAACGUCAGCACUCUCGUCCACGGCCUCCAGUCAGCAAUACUAAGUCAGAUAUACGCCAGCGAUUAGGGAAAAGACCGUAUUCUCCAGAAAAGGCUUUUAGUAGCAAUCCAGUUGUUCGAAGAGAGCCCUCUUCUGAUGUACAUAGUAGGCUAGGUAUUCCCAGACAAGAUAUUAAAGGCCUCUACUCUGAUACUCGGGAGAAGAAAUCAGGUAGCUUAUGGACUCGCUUAGGAUCUGCACCCAAGACCAAAGAAAAGAAUAUGAAGAAGGUGGAUCAUAGGGUGCCUGGCACUGAGGAAGAUGACUCCGAGCUGCAAAGGGCAUGGGGGGCUCUGAUUAAGGAGAAAGAGCAAUCUCGUCAAAAGAAGAGCCGCUGUUACCAGCACCCUUUUCCCAAGAAAAGUCAAUUCCCAGGUGCUUAUUGGACAGCCUUCGAGGGGGAAGAUGAGGGAAGCUGCCUGCUCACCCUUCCAGGACCCUAGUGUGGGGGCGAAUCUCACGGACCUGACCUCAGAGGUGCACCAGUGCCGCCCAGAGACACGGACCAGCUUGGAUAAAUACAUCUUAGGUGGAUGCAGGAUGAGUCGGCAUUCUAGAAGUCUACGAAGAUGCAGAAAAUGCCCUGUCUCCUGUCAUCGACUUUGCCUGGCUUCCCGAGGUGCCCUGAAGUUCACACUCCAAAUUUGAAGUCUUGCUUGUCUUAAGUGAGCCGCAGUCCUAGGCUCUAGCCCUGUCCUAACAAGCAUCUGCUGUAUGACUUCGGGCUAUUCUUUUCCACUGUGGGCCAGGGCUGGGGCGAAGGGUCUCCACCAUGGCUCUCCAGGGUGCCCUCAGAACUCAGAAUGAGUGGCAGGUGGAGGGGGCGGGGGCAGAGAGUCAUUGAGCCCUAGAGUGGAGGGGAGGCAGACUGGGUGCCCUGGGCCCUGAUCCAACCUGUGACAAGAUUAAGGAUGAUUUCCAUUGUGAUCUUGCUGGAAAAUCUUCACACCUAGAGCUUAGCUUUUUUCAAAUGUUUAACUUCUCUGCCAGAGGGUAACAGGUUGAAAAAUAGUAAAUUAUAAUCUCUGCUGAAAUAACCAAGUACACUCUGGUCAUAGAUAUUUUGUCAGACCAAAGAAGACAAUGCAACAAUAUUUGAAGUGUCAUCAGAUCUUCUCAGAACUUUGGCCAAGAAAGAUUUCAAUGUAGAGAAAAAAAAAUAAAGCUGAUUUUGAUUUAGUCAUUGUCUUCAUCUUUGCCUACUU